GCGUAAUUGGUUUAGUGGUAAAAUUCUCCGUUGCCAUCAAGCACGGUUCGGGGAGCCCUGGGUUCGAUUCCCAGAUUACGCA
This 82-nucleotide transfer RNA is filed under the name Fusarium culmorum. It matches the Rfam family "tRNA". From Rfam's summary of the family: Transfer RNA (tRNA) molecules are approximately 80 nucleotides in length. Their secondary structure includes four short double-helical elements and three loops (D, anti-codon, and T loops). Lineage: Eukaryota; Fungi; Ascomycota; Sordariomycetes; Hypocreales; Nectriaceae. RNAcentral also lists the same sequence under 8 other names. The record is from Rfam by way of RNAcentral.